RNAcentral lists this transfer RNA (87 nucleotides) under Sediminibacterium sp. Its description in RNAcentral is "tRNA-Ser". It matches the Rfam family "tRNA". From Rfam's summary of the family: Transfer RNA (tRNA) molecules are approximately 80 nucleotides in length. Their secondary structure includes four short double-helical elements and three loops (D, anti-codon, and T loops). Lineage: Bacteria; Pseudomonadati; Bacteroidota; Chitinophagia; Chitinophagales; Chitinophagaceae. The record is from RNAcentral.
GGAGAUGUGUCCGAGUGGUUUAAGGAGCACGCCUGGAAAGUGUGUAUACCUGAAAGGGUAUCGCGAGUUCGAAUCUCGCCAUCUCCG